RNAcentral lists this small nucleolar RNA (106 nucleotides) under Gossypium hirsutum (cotton). RNAcentral describes it as "Plant small nucleolar RNA R71". It matches the Rfam family "Plant small nucleolar RNA R71". From Rfam's summary of the family: R71 is a member of the C/D box family of snoRNAs containing the C (UGAUGA) and D (CUGA) box motifs. Multiple nearly identical copies of this snoRNA have been identified in Arabidopsis, and it is thought to function as a 2'-O-ribose methylation guide for 18S ribosomal RNA. Lineage: Eukaryota; Viridiplantae; Streptophyta; Magnoliopsida; Malvales; Malvaceae. The record is from Rfam by way of RNAcentral.
AACCCAUGGUGAGGGCACCUUCUCAAUAGAUCCUUGUUUCUCUCUUAUGAUCAUAGAGUGUUUCUAGAUCGAUCUGCACAAAAGAAGAGAUAUCAUUCCUCAACUU